This 2913-nucleotide long non-coding RNA is filed under the name Gallus gallus (chicken). The record is from RNAcentral. Lineage: Eukaryota; Metazoa; Chordata; Aves; Galliformes; Phasianidae.
CUGCGGUCCACGGCGCCGGGCCGCAUGGAGGGGCUGAGCAGGCUGCCCCCGCCGCACCUGCCAAGAAGGCGCCCUCUGAGUGGCUGCCGCGACGAGGGGCCGAAGGGCAUCAGCGGCUCGGGCUCCCCGCGGGGCGGGAGCAGCGGGGCCAGCAGGCUGACUGGCUUGCCGGCCGGCCAAUCGGGGCGGCCCGCCAGCCGGGUGCCCUUCGGUGAUUGGUCGGCGGCCGAGGCGACGGGACGGACGGCGUCCCCCGGCGUCAGCUGCAUGAGGGGAGGGGGCUUCGGCAGGGAGAACGGCAGCGGCUGCGGGGAGGCCGUGGCCGCCGCCGCCGCCGAGUCCCCUCCGGACAUCCUGGCCGCCGGGCCCGCCGCCGGGAGCCCUUUCCCGCCUGCCCUGGCGGCCGCCGGCCGGGGACGGCGAGGAGCGGGCGGAUAGAGAGAGAAAGGGAGGCCCCGCGGCGGAGCCGAGUAGAGAAAGCGGCGGCCGGCCGGCGGCGGAGAGCAACGGCGGGAGCGAGCGCGGGGCCGGGCCGCGGAGCUGGCGCGGGGGGAAGCUGCGGCGGGGGCCGAGCGCAGGGAGCGCUGGGAAAGCGCUCACGUGGGCUGCGGGCGGGCGGCACCAAGAGCGCCGCGCAAAUAGGGGUGUGGCGCGGCGCACCUUCCGCCUCUCCCGCCUCGACGGAACGGGAGGACGCGGCCGCCUCCCCUCCGCCUUGCGGCAGGUGGUGCGUGCCGGCACUCAGGCCCGGCCUCGCCACGGCCCCCCCGCGCGGCGCCGGCUUGGUAUGCGCCGGGCUGCGGCAGCGCGGCAAGGCGGGCGCGGCCCCCGGCAUCGCCGCGCCGUGGUAGGCGCCUCCGGGGGCGGGCUGUGGCCCGGCUCGGGGAGCGGAGCCUGCCGGUACUCGUGCGGCCCUGCGGGGCUGUCCGUCUCCGGGUCGCUCCUUUGCAGCUCUUCCCGCUUCGGCUUUUCCUUCGUGUUCGCGCAGCGCUCUGUUGGCGGGGCUGACGGACAAAGGGCGGUGUGGGAGCGGGGUUGUCGGGCUGAGCCUGGCGGGGCAGCUGCCUGAUGUGCGCCCGUCUGACUCCUGUGCCGGGGAGAGCUGUGGAGAAAGGCGAGGCUUUGUGCUUUGGAGCCCCGUCCUGCGGCCUCGCUGGGCUGUGAGGGGCCCGUCCUGUGCUGGGGAGGGCGUGGGAGAGCACAGGGAGACCAGCGGCAGGGAGAGCUGCAGGUUGGCAUAACGGCCCUGCGGGUUUAACUGAAACGAGGGGUGAAACGCCACUCUUAGUUCUUCAGUGAAGUGCUACAGCACAUAACGUUGGAUUUCUUUCAUAUAGCUUGUUAUAAGAACAUACGUUGUAUAAUCAAUGAGUAUAUAGACGUAAAAUCAGUGACAAUACAGAGAAGAAUACUGGGCUUACCAAAAAAAAGACUCCACGAGGAGCCAUCUCCAGGGAGAGACCCCUCCCCAGCGGCAGUCAGCCCUGGAAUGGGCUCUAGCAGAGGUGCAGCCUGGCUGCAGCCCUUCCACUCACACAGCUCAACUGCCUUCACCUGUGCUCCCACGGCUGACUCAGCGCUCGCCUCAGGUGGUCAAUCAGAGGUUCAGGCCGUGAUUCAACAGGGAGCAGCACGCCAGCACUGUUUCCUAGAACCUGUCGCUUACUGUGCAGGCAGCACAGUGCUUGGGAAAAGCUUUACCUGGUGUUCAUCAUGAGUAGGAGUCGUCCCCACCUGUGAAGCCUGGGUUCCUGAUGGAGAAGUUGCUGAUCCUCCUCACCUGUGUCAUCUGAGUGGUUUAGAGGAAUCAUGCCAUCGGACACAGAUCAGUAAUGCUUGUUGCUUGAUCCAACUGCUGUAUAGCUGAUGAAUUCAUGGAUUUAAGACAAAUAAUCCGUAUUUCAUUACUAGCAAGUGCUAGAAAUAAAAAUGUACUCUGCACUAUUGCUUGGAAAAACAAAUCCUGAAGUCGUAAGAGAGGAUUAAAGUUGGAAAAAAAUCUCUCAAGAGAAAAACGAAGGGAGUAAUGACAUCUGCUUAGCAGCAUCCAGCCCCUCAGCCUGCAGCACGGACCUCUGGAGCCCUUACACACGGAAUAAAAGGGGAUGCAGUGAGUGAGGAGCAGCAGAACUGCAAGCAGAGCAGCGCUACUGGUGUAAGAUGGCAUUAGGAAGAGUGGAGUUUUGUUAAUGGGUCAUGGAAACUGCUGCUCUGCAUGCCGUAAAACAGCAAUCCGAAGGGUUUGCUCUGAAAGCAUCUCUUUGUGCCCUGGGCCAGUGACCCCACUGCUGUGCCAGUAAAUCAUGGCAAGCUGGAGGAAUCUCCCUGAUUUCUGAGCUCCUAAUCCCGCAAAGCCUGUAAAUGAUGGCUGGCUUAGCUUUGUUUCUGAUAAAACGAGGCUUAUGAGAUGAUGACAUUUGCUGCCUGUUUCUCCUCCGCUCCGUUCCGUGUCACCACCCAAGAGAUCUCUGGAGCCCAUCAGUGCAAGGCUGUGUGCCUAGUGCUACAACACUACCGCGUGCUGGAGAGCAGGGAGGAGCCUGGGUGAAUGUAUGGGAAUGAAUUUGGCUGUGUUAGCACUCCGAUCCCCUUCUGCAUGAUGUGCUUCCCCUGUUCUGCAGUGUCUGAUGCAGGUAUUGGGUCAGCCCAGUGAUGUUUGCUUCCUGGAGAGCACGCAUGGAACCUGCUGAUGGAGUUUGUUAACAGCCCCGCUGUUCCUUAAGCCAAGCUGGGUUUUUGCUUUGAUAAAACCUCUGGGCAUGGUGUGUGGCUGUACAGAGUGUGAGAACUCAGGGAGGUUCUUUACUCUGAGAGUGGCGAGGUGCUGAACAGCUGCCCAGAGAGGCUGUGGAUGCCCCGUCCAUCCCUGGAGGUGUUCAAGGCCAGGUUGGAUGGGCCCUGGGCAGCCUGGGC